Molecule: ribosomal RNA, 386 nt
Filed under: uncultured bacterium
Lineage: Bacteria
Description: bacterial SSU rRNA
Rfam family: Bacterial small subunit ribosomal RNA
Source: RNAcentral
AUUGAACGCUGGCGGCAUGCCUUACACAUGCAAGUCGAACAGCAGCACGGGAGCAAUCCUGGUGGCGAGUGGCGAACGGGUGAGUAAUGUAUCGGAACGUACCUUUCAGUGGGGGAUAACGUAGCGAAAGUUACGCUAAUACCGCAUAUUCUGUGAGCAGGAAAGCAGGGGAUCGCAAGACCUUGCGCUGAUUGAGCGGCCGAUAUCAGAUUAGCUAGUUGGUGAGGUAAAGGCUCACCAAGGCGACGAUCUGUAGCGGGUCUGAGGGGAUGAUCCGCCACACUGGAACUGAGACACGGUCCAGACUCCUACGGGAGGCAGCAGUGGGGAAUUUUGGACAAUGGGCGCAAGCCUGAUCCAGCCAUGCCGCGUGAGUGAAGAAGGCC